This 305-nucleotide unclassified non-coding RNA is filed under the name Hevea brasiliensis (rubber tree). The record is from RNAcentral. Lineage: Eukaryota; Viridiplantae; Streptophyta; Magnoliopsida; Malpighiales; Euphorbiaceae.
GGCAUUAGCAAUAAUAUCAACACUGCAAAUGCUCUUCCCAAUAUCCACAGAACCUGGCGUUCCUAUCUCAGAGGUGGCCUCAAAACCCAGGAAUUCCUCUCCACAUAAGCUGCUAGUCUCACUAGCCGAGGAAAGAGAACAAGAGCUAUCAAAAAUAGGAUCACCCUCCAAAGAAAAGGAAUCAUCUUCUUCUUCACUUUCCUGGUUUAUCACAUCAUCACUGCCCACCCAAUUAUUUUUAUUUUCAGAGACCAUAUCCAACAAAGGGACUCCGCUCUGCUUGUCCUGCUCUGGAACUGCAACUG